Molecule: ribosomal RNA, 195 nt
Filed under: Salmonella enterica subsp. enterica serovar Schwarzengrund
Lineage: Bacteria; Pseudomonadati; Pseudomonadota; Gammaproteobacteria; Enterobacterales; Enterobacteriaceae
Description: partial 16S ribosomal RNA
Rfam family: Bacterial small subunit ribosomal RNA
Source: RNAcentral
AAAUUGAAGAGUUUGAUCAUGGCUCAGAUUGAACGCUGGCGGCAGGCCUAACACAUGCAAGUCGAACGGUAACAGGAAGCAGCUUGCUGCUUUGCUGACGAGUGGCGGACGGGUGAGUAAUGUCUGGGAAACUGCCCGAUGGAGGGGGAUAACUACUGGAACCGUUGGCUAAUACCGCAUAACGUCGCAAGACCA